AGCUAAAUCCGUGGGAGCUGAUCUGCACUUAACGUUCCAAACAUUUGUGCUGACAGUCACAGAAAUUGAAAACUAUAGAAAUUCAAAAUUCCAAAUUUUGACCCAUCUGCACAGCAAGGCUCUAUUACAGACAAAAUUGUCUCACAAAAUUCCUCACUGUUCAUCCUUGAAAUAGAAUAAAAGUACAAAGAAUUGUCUAGUUAGGUGAGUCUGAAUGCAAGUUAUUCUUACUACUUCUUAGCUGAGCUUUAAUCAAAAGAUGCAAUAAGUACUUAGCUGAACAAUUCUCCAUGUCUUUCAUAUUUCCUCUUUCUUUAGACUUCACACUUUUACUGCAUUUUCACCAGAUUAAUUCCAGACUGACAGUCAAUCAAACCUGCAGUAGCUGUGCUCAGGCAAGAUGUCACAGUAUACAAACUUUUCUGCGUACAUCUCUUUAAUUCCAGACUCAGACUCUUUGCAUAUCCACACUCAGUGGUUUUGUAUGCUGCUUUCUCAUGCCUAGUUGAAAAGCAGGAGUGGCUGGAUGACAUGUGAAGAAGCAGUACUGUAGUUUACAACAGAUGGCAGCUCUGUGCCCUGAACUUCUGUGAGGGCAUUUCUGAGGUCAUCAGCGGUCCCAUGGGGGAAAUGAGUCAGCAAAAGCUAACACAGUCACCUAUUUCAAUGGCCAUGGUCACAAUCAUGCAGCACGUGCAAGACAACCAGGGGAUCAGGACCAGCCAAAGGCAGGUACUGCUGAACCAACCUGAUCUCCUCCUAUGACUAUGACUAUAGAUUUCAUACUCUACUGUGCCCACAGUUGUCAUCCUAGAAAGUCCAGCUGUUUGUUCCUUGCUUGUUGUUUGCAUGAGUCUACCUGGGUAGACUAUCUUGGUAUAGCUUUGUCUGUACUGCAGCAGCAGAAAUAUCCUGUUUCUUAACAUAGUUAGGCCAAAAUUUGCUUUGUAGCUGCUUCAGUUGCUGCCACAUGCCAUCAUAGAACAGGCAAGGCAAAAAUAGACUGAAGUACUUCCAUAAGAAAUCUAGAGAUACUUGAAAGCUAUUUGCCAUGCUUUCUUCCAGAGUCCCAUCUAAAAGCAGUGUACUUUAAAAGCAUCCCCUUAGCUUUUUGUUUCACUUCAUGCUUGUGACAAGCCCUGGCCUGUGGAUCCUGUAACAGCUAUAUGAUAAAACUUUAGCCCAAUGUUCCUUAUGGCUGAGACACCAAAGAAGCAGAGCCCAGCAGGUAAUGGGGAAAUAAAAAAAACAGGUUUUAAUCUACACUUGAGUUCAAAAGGUACAGGGAGAGGUAAUGAGCAGAACACAGGAAGGGCAGGGACAAAUGAGCCAAGGAACCAUACAAAGAAGUACAAAUGAGAUACUAAGCCAUUAUAAGUUGCUCACUCAGUUUAUGAUAGGCAAUUGUUUGCCUUUGUGUGCUCAUAAAUGCAUCUAAAAUAAACAGAACGUUUCCCAGUAUAGGCCAUGGCACUGUUUUUUUUUCCUGGUAAAUGUUUUAAGAAUACCAUAGGUAUUUGAAGAUGCUGACAUGAAAAACUCAACAAAAGAGCUACAAACCUUUUCCUGUUAUUAAACAAACGGAAAGUAAACAUUCAGGAUUGGGAUAUAUUCCAUAAGAGGAUGUUCUGUCAUUUUGUAUUUAAAAACAUAAAUACUCCUGGCAACAAAUUGAUUUAUUUGGUUUAUUUCAAUUCUUAAAAAUGUGAUGAUUUAGGAAUUUCUCCUGAUUUACUUGUUGUUUUGUCCUUUUUUCAGUUAUGACAUAGGAACCUAGACAGCAUUUAGGAUAAGCUUUGAGACACACUUCAGAUAAUCUCUGAAUCCCAAUAGGAUUAUUUGUGCAAUUAGAGGCAGACAGCCACGUUAGAGCCUGCUGCUGGGUCAGAGAGUGUUGAGAUUAGGAGUGACACCAAAUUUUGUCAUACAAUAAAAAAUUUAGGAUGAACUUUGAGACACAUUUCACAUUCCUAAAUAUUGUAAAUGAAGUAGAAGUGUUAGAAACAAAUUUAGUUUUUUAAAUUAUACCCACAUCUACAUCAACUGUGAAUUUUUAGUGCCAGCUUUGCAGCUGGUUCUGAGAGUUCAGUCUUUGAAUGGUGUGAUACUCAGCAUUCUCUAAAGUCCAUUCUAUCCUUGUGUUUAAUAUUACUGAAAAUAGAGGGGGAAAAAAUAACUGAAAAGGGGAAAUGGUUUUGAGUUG
Molecule: long non-coding RNA, 2203 nt
Organism: Coturnix japonica (Japanese quail)
Lineage: Eukaryota; Metazoa; Chordata; Aves; Galliformes; Phasianidae
Source: RefSeq, a predicted model, not a curated record